This is a long non-coding RNA of Scylla paramamosain (green mud crab), 411 nucleotides long. RefSeq lists it as uncharacterized. The record is from RefSeq and is a predicted model, not a curated record. NCBI's taxonomy places the organism in Eukaryota, Metazoa, Arthropoda, Malacostraca, Decapoda, Portunidae. The transcript is spliced from 3 exons.
CCCGUCACCUGAGGUACAGAGUAAGUUGUGAAGUCCCGCGGUGGCGAUUAUCGUAAUAUUUCCCAUCCAUCCGUGCGUCAGGAGGGCUGCGGGUCGUGUGCCUCGGCCGCGGACAGCCCCGUGAUGGUCAGCCCUCCAAGUGUGCUCGUCUUAGCAAGGCCUUCCUCUCCCAGACGACCAAAACGCAGAGGGAGGUGUUCCACGCGCCCUUCUUCACCACCUGGUUCUGCACGGCCUGGAUGGGGCUCUUCUGCCCGCUCUGCCUCGCCUGCCACUCCUGCUUCCGGAGGGACAAGGACUCACUCAAGGUCUCCCUCAAAACCAUCGCGCAGAACUUCAGGGACCGCGGCGUCACUUUCAGUAAGUUGAGAGAGAGAGAGAGAGAGAUCAUUUCUGGCUGCGCGUUGUAAU